AUGGAGGAUGCUGGUUAUUGCGCGACAUCACCGCACAAGAGGAGUUGUGCAUUAUCUGACCCCAGCAACACUGAGACCACAGCUUCUCAUGAUGAUGAUAUAUCUGAUCUAUCAGGAAUGAGAGACAGACUGAAGGGCGUGCUUACACAUUACGAAGGUAUAUUAAAAUGUGCAACAGCCUGGGUUUACCCACCCUUCUUGGAAGAGGGCUUCUGUGCCAUUGAAGUCGGGCUGUGUGAAAAUGUCCUAGGGGACUUUGAUGAGCAUAGGACCUUGGGAGAAACACUAUUACAUCACAUCCAGUGCCCACGAAAGGAAAUAGACUUCAUGGACCUAAUACUCCCUGUAGCCCGGCCAAGAGCAACUAAUGUCGCCCCUCAGCCAGCCAUGUCAUCGUCCGCCCUAGAGCAGCCAAUGGCAAGGUCUGCAACUAUUGAGGACGCACCACGGGUUCAUAUGCCGGCCGCUGAAGCAGCGAGGGGAGACCCAGCUGCACCACAUGCUCAGCAGACCAACCUGAUGGAACAGACUACUAAGCAGUCUGAUGCUUCAGCACCGCCUGCUGAGCAGUCUUCUGCCUUUCAGCCAUUCAGACCUUGGACCAUAAGUGCUUCAAGUACCAAGAAGGAAGCUGGCAAAAAGGCUGCAACCGUGAGGAAGCGCGCCCAGAGAGCGAAGAGGAAAGAGAACGAUUGCCUCUUACUUAAAGCACUCGUCGCCCAGAACCAAAUUAACAACAAGUUGUUCGAAUCGGAGAGUAAUGUUAUGCCUGACGGCAUGAAUGAUGCAGAAAUAGAUUUGGUGCUUGCUAAAAAUAAAGCUAACGUACUUGAAGCACACAAUUACGUCCAUGGUCAGCCAUUUCUUUUUGGUGAAUACUUUGAUGAGUGCAGCUCCAGUUGCCGCGAUUUACAUAAAUAUUGCAUGGAUCAAAUGUUAGCAGGUCAUCCUGUUCUGCUAGUCUGCUACAACAGAGAUCAUUUCCAACACGAUGCUGGUUUGAUCAGUGUGAAUUUCGAGGACUUACAUCUCUUCUUCAACUUCAACGAGCUCGAUGCCACUCAUGUUAGAUGCCUGAUUUUGGGAUUGAAUGCGCAAAGAAGAAAAAGGGGGAGUGUGCAUUUCAUAGAUCCUCCAUUAGAAAAUGGUACACCAUUACAUGGUAAGGAUGGACGGGAGUGGGACAUUAACACGGUCGCCCGUAACACGUCCCAUGCAAAAUCAUUUCUAUGGCCAUAUCAUGAACGGGAACCUGUUCAAGAGGGAACUACUCUGCAUCACGAGAUCGUUUCUCUGUGUCCUGAGCAACAAGCAGGGACCAACCUUUGUGGAUACUAUGUUUGCAGACACAUGAUCUCCAUCUGCAAAUGUGCUGAUAGUUGUGAAGUUGCUUGUGAAUUAGUACCACUCAUCUUACAACCGAGGACCCCUGAACCGCUCCCCGCUGGUGAAUUGCUGAUGGUUCGAAGAUUUAUCAGCGACUUCUUCCUGAAUCACUACAUCAAUCCCACUAGUGAUAAUGAAGAUUUUAGCAUGCCUUCUCCUGAAACAUUGAGAAACGUGUGGGAUCCCAAACAAAAAGCACACGUCACUCUUACUGCAACCGUCGGUGAUACACAACAAAUCACAAAUGGUCUGCAACACUUGUAUAGCUCAAAGGAGGAAGACUUGGAGGAGGAGGAGGAGGAGGAGGGCGACCCCAUGGUCAUGGAAAAUAUCACAAUGGACGAGUCGAAAGAGGAGCAGGCACCCGUGCAUGUGGCCGAGUUCAACCUGCCUGGGGCGAAGCAACACUACAACAUGGUGCUUGUGGAGGCAGAGGAUAGAAGCCUGUGCCGGUGGGGAGCCACCGCGUUGCUUGAUCCGGUUAGCGAGGCGGAGCGCAACAGGCUCUUCGAGUGGCUGGAGACGGAGGACAAUCACACUAGCACAAAGACGAUGCCAACAGGCAUUCAUCGUCAGCUCCGGCUCAUUCGAGUUGGCCGCCAACGACGACGAGUCCGAACCAUCUCACGUUGGAACUGUGGAUCGCACCUCCGACUGAAGGAGUUGGAUGGUCUCGCCUGGCUGGCUCUUGAUGUUCGUUUGGUGAUCUGCAUUAGAUUUGUCCUAACUAGUUGCUCCCCUAAGAAAACUCUCCUCGCUAUCGAGCUUUGGCCUACAACCAAAAUCCCUGUCAUCUCCUUCGCCAUCGCCACCGCCACCGCCACCGCCACCUCCUCCCGUUCUUCUCCGGCCGCUGCCUCAGACUUGGUGCCCGCAUGCUGCCACCCGCAGGAGCCGCAGAUGGCGUCUUCGACGUCCACCCUAGAGAACGAGGCUCGCGACGUGGUGAAGAUAAUGCUGCAGUUCUGCAAGGAAAACUCGCUUCAUCAGAUGUUCCAGACCCUGCAGAAUGAAUGCCAGGUCUUGCUCAACACGGUGGACAGCAUGGAUACCUUCACUGCCGACAUUAAUGUUGGGCGUUGGGAUGCCGUGCUGCCGCAGGUUGCCCAGCUGAAGCUGCCGCGCAAGAAGCUUGAGGACCUCUACGAGCAGAUUGUGCUUGAGAUGGCAGAGCUCCAUGAGCUGAACAUGGCCCGUGCAAUCCUUUGCCAGACACAUGUGAUGGGGGCUUACCAAGAAUCUACCAAGGAAAAGCGACGUGCGCAGAUUGCCCAAGUAGUCCCACCAGCUCGGCUAAUGGCACUGAUUACCCAGGCUUUGAAAUGGCAACAGCACCAAGGUUUGUUACCCCCUGGCACACAGUUUGAUUUGUUCAGAGGAACCGCUGCAAUGAAGCAAGACGAAGAAGAGGCAUAUCCUACUACUUUGUCACAUCAAAUAAAGUUCGGGAAGAAAACCCACCCUGAGUGUGCUCGAUUCUCACCCGAUGGCCAGUACCUUGUUUCAUGCUCAGUGGAUGGAAUCAUCGAAGUCUGGCAUUAUGUCAGCGGCAAGCUGAAAAAGGAUCUUCAAUAUCAAGCCGAUGAAAGCUUUAUGAUGCACGAGGAUGCUGUGCUCUGUGUUGAUUUUAGUAGAGAUUCUGAGAUGCUGGCAUCUGGAUCACAGGAUAGAAAAAUUAAGUCAUGUGAACUGCUUGUUUGGCGUAUACGAACUGGCCAGUGCUUGCGACACCUCGAGCGUUCACACGCAAAGUCACCGACGAUUGGAGUCCGAAGUGCCGCAUCUCCUUUUGAAAACUAUGAUCCUUCUUGUGAGAUGCUCCGAUUUGGAAGGACCCGAUCUACAAUUUCCGAACCGCUGCAGAAAAGAAAAGAAGCACACUACCCCCGCCUGACAAAAGAAACGCUCUCAGUACACCUGCAUGCCACCUCACUCCACUCCAUCCAUCUAGCGCCAGUCGCCACCGCUGCACCUCGCACCGGCCAUCCCCCACCCCCUACCUCGCACCGGUCGCCCCGCCCUGUCUCGCGCCGGUCACCGCCGCCAUACCUCGCCCCAGCCAUCGUCCACCCCUUUCUCACGCCGGCCGCUCUGUCUCGUCUCAUGCUAGCUGCCCCCGCCCCAUCUCGCGAUGCGCCGCCCCCACCUUCUGUCGCGGCCGCCAUGCCCACCUCCUGUCGCGGCCGCCGCCCCCACCUCCCGCCGCGGCCAUCGCCCAGCAAGCUAACCAGCCGACCAACUACGGAUAUCAAGCAUGACACCGGCCCGGAUCCACCGCACACCAACGACCCCUUCCCAACGAGUUCCAGCGCCGACCAUCCCGGCGCUACUCGUGAUCCCCUCCUCCAUCAGCUCCACUUCGCCGCAGCCUGGGGAGUCCGAUCAUUUGCUGCUCAAAAUCCGAUAACAAUCCGACAACAAUCGAAGGAGGAAUGCGCAACAAGCAAGUCUAUCAUCGACGGCAAGACUUGCUUGCCAAGUACUUUGUGCAUAUCCUUACUUGAAAUCUGGCUCCACCCUUCUCCCGUUGAACCUCUCAUGAAGCUCGUGCACGUACAGCAGCAGCACUAG
RNAcentral lists this ribosomal RNA (3957 nucleotides) under Triticum aestivum (bread wheat). Its description in RNAcentral is "partial small subunit ribosomal RNA". The record is from RNAcentral. Lineage: Eukaryota; Viridiplantae; Streptophyta; Magnoliopsida; Poales; Poaceae.